This is a long non-coding RNA of Dreissena polymorpha, 556 nucleotides long. RefSeq lists it as uncharacterized. The transcript is spliced from 2 exons. Lineage: Eukaryota; Metazoa; Mollusca; Bivalvia; Myida; Dreissenidae. The record is from RefSeq and is a predicted model, not a curated record.
GCAGCUGUGUAUUCAACAACAUGUUAACCUGUCCCAGCGGAUGUUGAUGCUCUUAAAUGAUGUUGAGAAAAAUCCAGGACCGGAGUAUUCGUGCAAAUGGAUAUCCUGCAAGGAAGACUUCCACUCCAUAGGACAGCAAGAUGCACAUAUCAUCUCUCAUGUGGAUCAAGAGAAAUGCUGUAGAUGGGGAGACUGUACCAAAGUCCUGAGCUUUAAUAGUCUUGAAAUCCAUGAACUUAAACAUCUCUAUGAUGUGAGUUUAGCACUGUGUAUGAACUGAUGUUACUUCAUUUUCUGCAUAUCUUUAUCUCAGUCUUCUCUAGUUUUGAUGGUCAAAUACAUAUUGUCUGCCAGUUUUUUUCCCCCAAUACUGCCGUUCAUCGUUUGCUUGCAUCAAGAGUUUUAAAAGAAAUUAAAACUCAUUUGUUUAGUUAGAAUCUUAUGAAAGACUUAAAUGGCCAUGUUUAAUACAAUUGUAUAACAACAUAUACGAGCUAAAAAAAUAGUUGGAAUAAUUAAUGUAUAUAUGAACAUAACAAAUUUACUUAAAAUCAAA